This is a long non-coding RNA of Herpailurus yagouaroundi (jaguarundi), 963 nucleotides long. RefSeq lists it as uncharacterized. NCBI's taxonomy places the organism in Eukaryota, Metazoa, Chordata, Mammalia, Carnivora, Felidae. The transcript is spliced from 6 exons. The record is from RefSeq and is a predicted model, not a curated record.
CUGAGCUGAAGUUGGACAGUUAACCAACUGAGCCAGCCGGGUACCCCAAAGUCAUUUUUUUUUUUAAGUCCACUGACAUCACCUCAAAGGAAGUUGUGUGUUUCUUACAAAGAAAACUGCAGCAAAAAAUUUUAAAUUGUUUACUCUUUUUAUUUAGGUUUAGAUUUGGGAUAAGAGGGAGAAAACCUUAACAGAACAAAGGAGUUGUUGAUGUUAUGCCCAGUUAUCCAGAUAGGGUCAUGAUAGGCCUCAUGGUGGCCUGAGAGCAAAACAGACUACUUUGAGAAAUAAUUUGCCAGCAGUCUUCUUCAUUUCCGAAGCAUAUCUCCUCAAAGAGUUUUCUUGAAGAUGAUACAUAACUUGGGCAGGAAACGAUCUAUCCGAGGUUAAAAGUCCACUGCAGGUGACUGUGAAGGAGAAAGUGGAAUUCUCAGCUCCAUCUCUGCUUGACUUGAUCAUAUAAGCUUAAUAUAAACAGCCCUGAGAAACAGGAAAAGGGUUAUACUCCAGGGACAGAAGUUAACAAAAGACACCGCUCAUGUGCUGCAGUAAACAGCCUACCAUUUUUCAUAUGGACUGAAAUCAAGGCAAACAAGUUUUACAGAGCUUGACUGAAGUGGGUGCAUGUGAUGGAUGUUGACCAGAACUUGGAUUAGAGAAGACUGGGGAUCAAAGCCCUGGACAAGCUGCAGUGGAUGCCUUGGCUUGAGGAUCACCAGCGCAGAAUUUGACUCCUGUUCGUCUUUGAAUUUGUAGCUGGCAUAAUCCAGUGGGGCAGGAAGCAACUUGGGGAUUCAGAUAUUUGCUUAUUUCUCCUUCUUGGGUGAAUUCCUAAGCGUGGCAUCGCCAGGUUGUAUGGUAGAUCAACUUUACAAUGCAACUAAAAUGAUCCAUUCAACUGAGAAGAACCCCACACCCCUUCACCCCCACCCAGUACCCAGCAAGCUAGUUCCCUGAGCCUCC